GAUUAUUACCACCAUUCGGAACAUGGUGGGUUAGCGCGCGUCGGAUCAUCGCUGCAUCAACCCGCCAAAGGCGGGUUUU
This 79-nucleotide small RNA is filed under the name Achromobacter xylosoxidans. RNAcentral describes it as "Pseudomonas sRNA P9". It matches the Rfam family "Pseudomonas sRNA P9". Rfam says of the family: P9 appears to be conserved in several Pseudomonas species in addition to Bordetella spp. The record is from RNAcentral. Lineage: Bacteria; Pseudomonadati; Pseudomonadota; Betaproteobacteria; Burkholderiales; Alcaligenaceae.